UACUUUGUUUAUGUGUUCGAGGUUGAGGGUUCGAGUCUCUUUUUAAAAAGUCCUAUUUUAUUUUGCCUGAAUCCUUAUCCGUGAAAUAUCAACUUAAGUUUAAUUCUAUGUAAAUCUAUGUCAAGAAUGAGCCUGCUAGUUCAAUGGUUAAGCUUCUGUUUACUUUUUUUAUUUGACGUCCUUCUUUCCUUCAUUCUUUUUUCUUUUUCUUUUUUUCUUCUACUUCUUUUCUCUUUUCUUUCUUUUUUCGAUUACUUUGGUAACUGUGCUAGCGGGUUAAAUCAGGGGUAUUGUGUCGUUCAUUUUUUCGAUUGAAGAGUUCUGCAUAAGUUUCUUCUUGUUGUUGUAAUUUUAUUUUGUUUGUUUUCGAUAUUGCUCUGUGAGUUUGGAAAUUACUGUUAGUGUGCCUAGAUUUCUCAUUAAUUGCUCAUUUUGCUUCUGUUUAGGUAGAGAUCCUGAGAGGAGUAUUCUUCUGAUAAUUUAAG
Molecule: long non-coding RNA, 485 nt
Filed under: Gossypium raimondii (Peruvian cotton)
Lineage: Eukaryota; Viridiplantae; Streptophyta; Magnoliopsida; Malvales; Malvaceae
Description: long non-coding RNA (GRAI_LNC000424)
Source: RNAcentral